This 426-nucleotide ribosomal RNA is filed under the name uncultured bacterium. Its description in RNAcentral is "bacterial SSU rRNA". It matches the Rfam family "Bacterial small subunit ribosomal RNA", at positions 354 to 796 of the family's 1533-position model. The record is from RNAcentral.
GUGAGGAAUAUUGGGCAAUGGGCGAGAGCCUGACCCAGCAACGCCGCGUGGAGGAAGACGGCCUUCGGGUUGUAAACUCCUUUUGACGGGGAAGAGAGAGGACGGUACCCGUCGAAUAAGUCACGGCUAACUACGUGCCAGCAGCCGCGGUAAUACGUAGGUGACAAGCGUUAUCCGGAAUUACUGGGCGUAAAGCGCACGCAGGCGGCUGAUUAAGUCUGACGUGAAAUCUCCUGGCUUAACUGGGAGGGGUCGUUGGAAACUGAUUGGCUUGAGGUGGUGAGAGGGGUGUAGAAUUCCCGGUGUAGUGGUGGAAUGCGUAGAUAUCGGGAGGAAUACCAGUGGCGAAAGCGGCACCCUGGCACUGACCUGACGCUCAUGUGCGAAAGCGUGGGUAGCAAACGGGAUUAGAAACCCUGGUAGUCC